Molecule: ribosomal RNA, 253 nt
Filed under: uncultured bacterium
Lineage: Bacteria
Description: partial 16S ribosomal RNA
Rfam family: Bacterial small subunit ribosomal RNA
Source: RNAcentral
UACGGAGGGUGCAAGCGUUAUCCGGAUUCACUGGGUUUAAAGGGUGCGUAGGUGGGGUGGUAAGUCAGUGGUGAAAUCUCCGAGCUUAACUUGGAAACUGCCAUUGAUACUAUCAUUCUUGAAUAUUGUGGAGGUCAGCGGAAUAUGUCAUGUAGCGGUGAAAUGCUUAGAUAUGACAUAGAACACCAAUUGCGAAGGCAGCUGGCUACACAUAUAUUGACACUGAGGCACGAAAGCGUGGGGAUCAAACAGG